GUGAAGCCAGGAUGUGAUUCCAAACUGGACAGUUCGAACUAUGAGCCACAUAACAUCCGAACUGUUAGCAGAGGCACUGUCAGGCUAAGAGGGACCAAGUCCAAACCACCCUGUUUUCAAACACAGGACUAGGCGCCUGCGUGGUGAUCCCAGAAUCAUGGGAAAAUGGUAAAAAUGAAAAAUGACAUCUUUGAUGGAGAAGACUCCACAGAGACCCGGGAGAACCGCAGCCUCUUCCCCUGCUCACAGACAGCUCUCUUUCCCCUCAUAUGGCUGACAGGGCAAGCAGGACUCCACGCUGGCUCGAACAAUGGCUGACAUCCCAGGUCAAGGCUGCGGGUGAGGAAGGAAGACUAGGGCUGCGGACAGGUAAGUG
Long non-coding RNA from Lutra lutra (Eurasian river otter), 376 nucleotides. RefSeq lists it as uncharacterized. The record is from RefSeq and is a predicted model, not a curated record. NCBI's taxonomy places the organism in Eukaryota, Metazoa, Chordata, Mammalia, Carnivora, Mustelidae. The transcript has 3 exons.